GAAAAGCAAAUGUAGGUAUAAGUAACGAUAAAGGGGGUGAGAAACCCCCUCGCCGCAAGACUAAGGUUUCCUGAUCAACGCUAAUCGGAUCAGGGUUAGUCGGGUCCUAAGGCUCAGCCGAACGGUGAGGCCGAUGGCAGAACAGGUUAAUAUUCCUGUACUACCUGUAAGAGUGACGUGGAGACGGAGGAGUGACAACGCCGCGGACUGACGGAAUAGUCCGUUAAAGGGUGUAGAUGUUGAUUAUCCCAGGCAAAUCCGGGAUAAGAGUCGAACCUGACAGUAUACCAAUUUCCCCGGAAAACGGUAAUAGUGCGUGUAAACAUACUCCCAAGAAAAUCCGCUAAACUUAAUCUUACAGGUACCCGUACCGUAAACGGACACACGUAGUCGGGUUGAAUAUACUCAGGCGCUUGAGUGAAUCACGGUUAAGGAACUAGGCAAAUUGACCCUGUAACUUCGGGAUAAAGGGUCCCUACCCGGUGACGGGAGGGCGCAGAGAAUAGGUCCAGGCAACUGUUUAACAAAAACACAGGGCUGUGCAAAAUUGAAAGAUCACGUAUACAGCCUGACACCUGCCCGGUGCUGGAAGGUUAAGAGGAGAUGUCAUCGCAAGAGAAGCAUUGAAUUGAAGCCCCAGUAAACGGCGGCCGUAACUAUAACGGUCCUAAGGUAGCGAAAUUCCUUGUCGGGUAAGUUCCGACCUGCACGAAUGGUGUAAUGAUCUGGACGCUGUCUCAACCGUGAGCUCAGUGAAAUUGUAGUAUCGGUGAAGAUGCCGAUUACCCGCGAUGGGACGAAAAGACCCCGUGAACCUUUACUAUAGCUUAACAUUGAAUUUGGGUAAUUGAUGUGUAGGAUAGGCCGGAGACUUUGAAGCAGGUACGCCAGUAUUUGUGGAGUCGCUGUUGAAAUACGGCCCUUUGAUUAUUUGAGUUCUAACUCGUUGUUGCGAGGACACUGUUUGGUGGGUAGUUUGACUGGGGUGGUCGCCUCCAAAAGUGUAACGGAGGCUUCUAAAGGUGCCCUCAGGACGAUUGGUAACCGUCCGUAGAGUGUAAUGGCAUAAGGGCGCUUGACUGGGAGACAGACAAGUCGAUCAGGUAGGAAACUAGAGCAUAGUGAUCCGGUGUUUCCGUAUGGA
Molecule: ribosomal RNA, 1144 nt
Filed under: human gut metagenome
Description: bacterial LSU rRNA
Rfam family: Bacterial large subunit ribosomal RNA
Source: RNAcentral